Molecule: long non-coding RNA, 383 nt
Organism: Carassius auratus (goldfish)
Lineage: Eukaryota; Metazoa; Chordata; Actinopteri; Cypriniformes; Cyprinidae
Exons: 3
Source: RefSeq, a predicted model, not a curated record
CGGAAGGGUAGACUGCUCCUUCUCCUUCUCAGCCUUCGAUCUGUCACAAAAUACAGGCCAUAUAAAAGAACCGAUUUUCAGGUUCAAAUAAACCGUUCCAGGGCUUCGAUACAUUUCAAAGUGUGCAAGCACAAAAAGCACAUGGAUACAUUUGUGGGAGAAAAACUCGUCGAGUGUAGUCUUAUCGAGACGUUUAACGGUUGGAACAAACCUGGAAUUCCUUAACCGAGCAGAAUCCUCAAAACCCAUCGAAUUGUUAUGGCGAUUUAAAAAUACCAACAGAUCUCUCAGGCAUUGAUCAUAAUCAAUGGACAGGUAAGGAUAUUCUGGACAAUUUUCAAAAGGAAUUGCAAUUGAAAAGCAUUUGAAUUUUAGAUGCCUUG